This 253-nucleotide ribosomal RNA is filed under the name uncultured bacterium. Its description in RNAcentral is "partial 16S ribosomal RNA". It matches the Rfam family "Bacterial small subunit ribosomal RNA", at positions 524 to 776 of the family's 1533-position model. The record is from RNAcentral.
UACGAAGGGGGCUAGCGUUGCUCGGAAUCACUGGGCGUAAAGCGCACGUAGGCGGAUCUUUAAGUCAGGGGUGAAAUCCUGGAGCUCAACUCCAGAACUGCCUUUGAUACUGAGGGUCUCGAGUCCGGGAGAGGUGAGUGGAACUGCGAGUGUAGAGGUGAAAUUCGUAGAUAUUCGCAAGAACACCAGUGGCGAAGGCGGCUCACUGGGCCGUAACUGACGCUGAGGAGCGAGAGCAUGGGGAGCGAACAGG